UGCAGUUGAGGGAGAAUUUUGGUGCUUGCACUGAAAGGGAACCGGCGAACGGGUGCGUAACACGUAUGCAACCUACCUAUAACAGGGGAAUAGCCCGAAGAAAUUCGGAUUAAUGCCCCAUAACACUUUCGGAUCGCAUGAUUUGGAUUUUAAAGCUCCGGCGGUUAUAGAUGGGCAUGCGGCCUAUUAGCUAGUUGGUGAGGUAAUGGCUCACCAAGGCUACGAUAGGUAGGGGGUCUGAGAGGAUGAUCCCCCACACUGGUACUGAGACACGGACCAGACUCCUACGGGAGGCAGCAGUAGGGAAUAUUGGUCAAUGGACGAAAGUCUGAACCAGCCAUGUCGCGUGCAGGAAGACGGCCCUAUGGGUUGUAAACUGCUUUUAUACAGGAAGAAACCUUUUUACGUGUAGAAAGUUGACGGUACUGUACGAAUAAGGACCGGCUAACUCCGUGCCAGCAGCCGCGGUAAUACG
RNAcentral lists this ribosomal RNA (475 nucleotides) under uncultured bacterium. Its description in RNAcentral is "bacterial SSU rRNA". It matches the Rfam family "Bacterial small subunit ribosomal RNA", at positions 56 to 527 of the family's 1533-position model. The record is from RNAcentral.